CGGGCUUGAAUUGCAGAGGAAAGAUCCAGAGAUGGUGAUGCCCUUCGGGGCCUCUGUGAAGGUGCUGCAUGGUU
RNAcentral lists this ribosomal RNA (74 nucleotides) under uncultured Prevotella sp. RNAcentral describes it as "partial 16S ribosomal RNA". The record is from RNAcentral. Lineage: Bacteria; Pseudomonadati; Bacteroidota; Bacteroidia; Bacteroidales; Prevotellaceae.